Molecule: unclassified non-coding RNA, 328 nt
Organism: Myotis lucifugus (little brown bat)
Lineage: Eukaryota; Metazoa; Chordata; Mammalia; Chiroptera; Vespertilionidae
Gene: 7SK
Rfam family: 7SK RNA
About the family: 7SK was discovered as an abundant small nuclear RNA in the mid-70s but a possible function has only recently been suggested. Two independent studies have found that 7SK RNA binds the CDK9/cyclin T complex (known as elongation factor P-TEFb).
Source: Ensembl
GGAUGUGAGGGCGAUCUGGCUGCGACAUCUGUCACCCCAUUGAUCACCAGGGUUGAUUCGGCUGAUCUGGCUGGCUAGGCGGGUGUCCCCCUCCUCCCUCACCAAUCCAUGUGCGUCCCUCCCGAAGCUGCGUGCUCUGUCGAAGAGGACGACCUCCCUCCUCCCCCCCCCCCCCCCCCUAGCCAGGAGAGGACUAGUCUUCGGUCAAGAGGAGACGAGUAGCUGCACUCCCCUGCUAGAACCUCCAAACAAGCUCCCAAAAAAGCUGUAGUGUAUUUACACAAUGGAAUACUACUCUGCCAUAAAAAGGAAGAAAAUUUUACCUUUU